RNAcentral lists this microRNA precursor (160 nucleotides) under Oryza brachyantha (malo sina). RNAcentral's name for it is "MIR812 microRNA precursor family". It matches the Rfam family "MIR812 microRNA precursor family", at positions 27 to 184 of the family's 205-position model. Lineage: Eukaryota; Viridiplantae; Streptophyta; Magnoliopsida; Poales; Poaceae. The record is from Rfam by way of RNAcentral.
UACAAUGUUUUAACUUUUUAUUUUAUUUAAAUUUUUUUUGCAAUUAGCAUUUUUAUUUUUGCUCAAUGAUAAAACAUGAAUAGAACUCUAUGCGUGACUAAUUUUUUAUGUUUUUCUACAAAUUUUUCAAAUAAGAUGAACGAUCAAACGUUCGGCACGG